GUCAGUUUAGUACUAACAAUUGUUUUGUACUUCUAUAGUUAUACGUUUUAUCCAGUUGUCUGUUUUGCCGGUUAAACGUUAAUCAGUUCAUUGUUUAGAUUUUUGUUAGAAACUAAUAAGACCUGAGCUCAGGCAGAACUCUGGAUUUUGCAGAGUUGUGUUUAAUCAUUAGGUUUAAUUCAAGCAUUUAUUAUUGUCAGUCGAUAGAAUUAGCUACUUUGCAAAUUGGCGCCUGAACAGGGACCCUGUGGGUGUUUUCAAACACUUCUCCAAGUACCUCUGUUUCCACACCACAAUUUACAUCUUGUUUUUCACAGAGGAAAUGUUGCCAUAGUUGUUCAUUGCCGUCGUGACGAGCCACCCGAAGAACCAAUGUUGGAGAAUAAUGUUCGGUCUCCAGAUUAUAUUAAAGAUGAACUGUUGUUAUGAAAUAUUCAGAAGGAGCUGUUAUGAAAGGGAGAGACAAUAUUGCUUUCCAGAAAAGGUGUUCAUCUGGAAGAAAAAGAACGAGUCUUGGGAGACGUAUGCUGGUGAUCCGUUUCAACGUUUGUAUAGGAGUCAGUUACCCCAAGAGUGGUGGCAGAAGGGCAAUGCUGUGGACCCUUGGGAUCCCCAGCAUGUGCCCUUUGAAGGGUGGAUAUUGUAAGGAUCGGCCAGAAAACUUACCGGUGUCUUUCCAGUGGUGAAGUCGGCGUGGAGCUAGUUCGUCCUGUCACCAUCUUUUAGCUUCAAACACAGAGUUCUUGACAUCAUUAUGUUUAAUUAAUUUUCAGUUUUUGGUUAAUGAACUAAUUAUGUUAUGCUUUUUUUUAUUAAUAAUGAUAUUUUUUGUUAAUAUCACACUGAUUGUUUUCAAAUAUUUUAUUUAAGUUUGACAAGUUACAUAAUUAUGCUAAUCAAGUAUGGUGCAGAUAUGGUUAAAAGGACUGUAGUAAGGAGGCGUCGUCGUCUCACUUGUCUGUUGUGUCGGCUUGAUAUGGACUGUUGGUGUAAGGUAUUUAACGUUUUAUUGGACGUUGUUCUCGACGAUUUCUUGUUUUGAUGUUGAGCAGCGGUCGCCCGAAGAAUCUUCUGGCUGGAGUCGGGAACUGUAUUGUGUAGGCUGUUGGCCACUGUUGUUUUUAUUCAAGCAAGACUUUGUUUUUUUCAUUAUUAUUGUAAGUACUUCUGAAUUACCAGUUGUUUUUUGUUUUUGGCUAAUAAAAGUUUAUCAUGGAGCAUUGUUUUGAAUCGAUUAUUCGUUGGCUGAGCCAUCAUGAAUUGAACAUUACUAUUCAGAUCAGCAUCAACCAGCGUAAUACACGGGGUCGAACUACAAGUGAAGGAACGGGAGGAUAGUUUUCCUUCACACAUGGCACCAAAAUGGAUUGUGUUGCCACUCUUUUAUUAGUUUCUAACAAAUGACUGUAUUCAAAAUAAAUACUGAACUGAUUGGCGUCUGACUGGAGAGGUAUAGAACUGGAUAAGGCGUAUAACUAUGAAAGUACC
RNAcentral lists this long non-coding RNA (1488 nucleotides) under Androctonus crassicauda. The record is from RNAcentral. Lineage: Eukaryota; Metazoa; Arthropoda; Arachnida; Scorpiones; Buthidae.